RNAcentral lists this ribosomal RNA (440 nucleotides) under uncultured bacterium. RNAcentral describes it as "partial 16S ribosomal RNA". It matches the Rfam family "Bacterial small subunit ribosomal RNA", at positions 338 to 795 of the family's 1533-position model. The record is from RNAcentral.
CCUACGGGCGGCAGCAGUGGGGAAUAGUGCAAAAUGGGGGAAACCCUGAUGCAGCGACGCAGCGUGAAGGAAGAAGUAUUUCGGUAUGUAAACUUCUAGCAGCAGGGAAGAAAAUGACGGUACCUGACUAAGAAGCACAGGCUAACUACGUGCCAGCAGCAGCGGUAAUAAGUAGGGGGCAAGCGUUAUCCGGAUUUACUGGGUGUAAAGGGAGCGUAGGCGGCGAUGCAAGUCAGAAGUGACAGCCCGGAGCUCAACUCCGGGACUGCGUUUGAAACUGUUUUGCGAGAUUGCAGGAGAGGUAAGUGGAAUUCCUAGUGUAGCGGUGAAAGGCGUAGAGAUUAGGAGGAACACCAGUGGCGAAGGCGGCUUACUGGACUGUAAAUGACGCUGAGGCUCGAAAGCGUGGGGAGCAAACAGGAUUAGAUACCCCUGUAGUC